RNAcentral lists this small nuclear RNA (107 nucleotides) under Salvator merianae (Argentine black and white tegu). Lineage: Eukaryota; Metazoa; Chordata; Lepidosauria; Squamata; Teiidae. The record is from RNAcentral.
GUGCUCGCUUCGGCAGCACGUAUACUAAAAUUGGAAUGAUACAGAGAAGAUUAGCAUCCUCCCUGUGCCAGGAUNACACGCAAAUUCAUAAAGAGUUCCACAUUUAA